This 719-nucleotide ribosomal RNA is filed under the name Enterococcus mundtii. Its description in RNAcentral is "bacterial SSU rRNA". It matches the Rfam family "Bacterial small subunit ribosomal RNA", at positions 45 to 740 of the family's 1533-position model. The record is from RNAcentral. Lineage: Bacteria; Bacillati; Bacillota; Bacilli; Lactobacillales; Enterococcaceae.
UGCUAUAAUGCAGUCGACGCUUCUUUUCCCACCGGAGCUUGCUCCACCGGGAAAAGAGGAGUGGCGAACGGGUGAGUAACACGUGGGUAACCUGCCCAUCAGAAGGGGAUAACACUUGGAAACAGGUGCUAAUACCGUAUAACAAUCGAAACCGCAUGGUUUCGUUUUGAAAGGCGCUUUACGGUGCCGCUGAUGGAUGGACCCGCGGUGCAUUAGCUAGUUGGUGAGGUAACGGCUCACCAAGGCCACGAUGCAUAGCCGACCUGAGAGGGUGAUCGGCCACAUUGGGACUGAGACACGGCCCAAACUCCUACGGGAGGCAGCAGUAGGGAAUCUUCGGCAAUGGACGAAAGUCUGACCGAGCAACGCCGCGUGAGUGAAGAAGGUUUUCGGAUCGUAAAACUCUGUUGUUAGAGAAGAACAAGGGUGAGAGUAACUGUUCACCCCUUGACGGUAUCUAACCAGAAAGCCACGGCUAACUACGUGCCAGCAGCCGCGGUAAUACGUAGGUGGCAAGCGUUGUCCGGAUUUAUUGGGCGUAAAGCGAGCGCAGGCGGUUUCUUAAGUCUGAUGUGAAAGCCCCCGGCUCAACCGGGGAGGGUCAUUGGAAACUGGGAGACUUGAGUGCAGAAGAGGAGAGUGGAAUUCCAUGUGUAGCGGUGAAAUGCGUAGAUAUAUGGAGGAACACCAGUGGCGAAGGCGGCUCUCUGGUCUGUAAC